UACGGAGGAUGCGAGCGUUAUCCGGAUUUAUUGGGUUUAAAGGGUGCGUAGGCGGAGUGUCAAGUCAGCGGUAAAAUUUCGGGGCUCAACCCCGUCGUGCCGUUGAAACUGACACCCUUGAGUGAGUGAGAAGUAAGCGGAAUGCGUGGUGUAGCGGUGAAAUGCUUAGAUAUCACGAAGAACUCCGAUUGCGAAGGCAGCUCACUGGACUGCAACUGACACUGAGGCUCGAAAGUGUGGGUAUCAAACAGG
This 252-nucleotide ribosomal RNA is filed under the name uncultured Bacteroidales bacterium. Its description in RNAcentral is "partial 16S ribosomal RNA". It matches the Rfam family "Bacterial small subunit ribosomal RNA", at positions 524 to 776 of the family's 1533-position model. Lineage: Bacteria; Pseudomonadati; Bacteroidota; Bacteroidia; Bacteroidales. The record is from RNAcentral.